This 40-nucleotide ribosomal RNA is filed under the name uncultured cf. Artomyces. RNAcentral describes it as "partial 28S ribosomal RNA". The record is from RNAcentral. Lineage: Eukaryota; Fungi; Basidiomycota; Agaricomycetes; Russulales; Auriscalpiaceae.
CGAUCUCAAAUCAGGCGGGACUACCCGCUGAACUUAAGCA